UCAUAUGAUUAGGCAAGUCAAGUAAAUGUGCGUUAGAUCCAAGCUUUUGCAAAAUGGACAAUGGGUCAAUGGCUUGAGCUUGUGGUUUCUUUAAGGAAUUUUUAGGGUAUCUUUCAGGAUGAAUACGAACUAAGACAUAAUCACAUGCAUGAAUUCUUUAUUUCUACGAUACAUAUCAAUAGCAACUUUGUAAUUUUCAUUACUUUAAGUAAUUUUUUCACCUAAUCUCAGCAUGCAAUCAUGAAUAUGUUGGGCAAAAG
Molecule: unclassified non-coding RNA, 260 nt
Filed under: Hevea brasiliensis (rubber tree)
Lineage: Eukaryota; Viridiplantae; Streptophyta; Magnoliopsida; Malpighiales; Euphorbiaceae
Source: RNAcentral